RNAcentral lists this long non-coding RNA (403 nucleotides) under Numida meleagris (helmeted guineafowl). RNAcentral describes it as "lncRNA (ENSNMEG00000015180.1)". Lineage: Eukaryota; Metazoa; Chordata; Aves; Galliformes; Numididae. The record is from RNAcentral.
CCGGGCAGCGGCGGACGCAGAGAGGGAGGGAGCGGGCACACAUCCGGGCCUCCGCCGCGCUCCGCACCGCCACAGCGCCCGCGGACGGAGCGGGGGAUCCCGGAGCGCAGGUGGGGCCGUCCCGUCCCGUCCCGUUGGCGGAGAGGCGGAACUUCGGCCGAAGUUGCGCGGCGCGGAGGCUCCACGGCUGAUCCUGCUGAGAGCCCCUGAGAUACAGAGCUCUAUGGGAACUGAGACCACUUGACUGCACUCAGCACCUUUCAGGAGCAGCCCUAGGUAACUGUUCUCAUUCUCAGCAUGGAUUGUGGGUGAAGUUUGUUCUGAGUUCUGCAGACAAGCCUCAGUGAUACUCCUCGCUGUCCGUUCCGUGGAUCUGUUAACCCGUUCUGCUCAGGUCGCAGAA